RNAcentral lists this long non-coding RNA (280 nucleotides) under Rattus norvegicus (Norway rat). RNAcentral's name for it is "long non-coding RNA NONRATT003915". Lineage: Eukaryota; Metazoa; Chordata; Mammalia; Rodentia; Muridae. The record is from RNAcentral.
CAGGGGAGGUGAAGAAAAACCGGUGAAGGAGUUGGCCAUGAUGUAGUCGGCGAUCUGCUGUAACGCUAGCAAUCCGGUCGGGUCGUGGCCUUUCUUCAUCUGUUCUUGGAUGAGGCACUCUAGGUCUUCCCGAAAGGCAGGACUCUGCAGGAUCUGAGUGACUCGCUUCCUCUGCUCCAUCAUAUUGAAGUCCUGCCGUAGAUCAGGAGACAUGUUCCUCUCUCGAAGCGCAGCCAGCUUUGUGCCCCCCUCCUCGCCACCGCCGGGCUGCAGCGGCCGC